Long non-coding RNA from Mesocricetus auratus (golden hamster), 1308 nucleotides. RefSeq lists it as uncharacterized. The transcript is spliced from 2 exons. The record is from RefSeq and is a predicted model, not a curated record. NCBI's taxonomy places the organism in Eukaryota, Metazoa, Chordata, Mammalia, Rodentia, Cricetidae.
CUGUUUUCUCAUGGAAAGAACACUUUGCUCUGACAGAAAGGCAAGGCGGGGGCAAGCCUGGGCUGCAACGUUUGUGCCAGCAAAUGCAAAGAAAGGGCUGAUUGACAAAUGCUGUUGCUUUGGAAAACAGAAGGAAGUGUACAGAACUGCUGGGGAACCAACAGUUUGAACACGGGCAUGCAUACAAAAAGGGGAGAAGGCAACGGAACCGGUGUGCUGCACUGUGAAAGGCUGGCUUACAUUAGAAAUCCAUUUCUGCUUUGACACAGCUUGCUCUCGCUCUCCCCACCUGUAAUAAACAUUCUUAAACAAAAGAACAACAUGGAUGCCGUGAAACCCGGGAGGCUUUCCCCGUGGCAGCUGCAAGAGACUCGGGGAUCCUUCUCUCGAACCAACAACACACUUUUUUCAUCUACCAAUUCACUGCCACUGGGUCUACAGAGAUGCCGGAGUUCCCUACAGCCUGGACUUCAUUGAAAUAACCAGCUACCUAGGAUGUGGCAUCACCCCAGCUUUCUCAGACACCCCAAAGAUGUUCAACGCCCCCCAGGUCAGCAGGAAGCAGUCUUAAGAACUCCUUAAUUUGCUUAUUUCCUAACUUGCCACGCCCAACUCCCCACCGUUUUAAUAAUAAUAAGAGGUGAGAUUGUUGAAACUAAACACCGCGCUGACCCCGUCCCCUGACAACAGGUGGGGCCCGAACAGUGGUGUGGCCACAUUAUCCCUGUGUCACUCCUUGUGGAGCUGCUGCAUAAGGACUCAGUACGCAUGCGCAAGCUUCCCCUUUAAGUGAGCACCGCUGGAUGAUCGCCCCUCCCGACUCUCCUCUCCCUUCUCUCUUCUCUCACCCUCUUUGUCUCUUCUUGUCUCUCCUCACUCUCCCGCCCUGUAAUAAACUGGUGGUUAAUGUACUCUCUAUGGUUCAUGUUCCAUCUAGCGUGUCUUAGUCUUAAACAAAAGAACUUUAUAGUGACAUAUUUUCUUACUAAUACUCUAUAGCAUAUUUUUCAUUAGAUAUAGUAACAGCUUCAAUAUUGCUUUUUUGCUCUUUUUGUAUGUAAUUGUUUUCACUAUUAAGGGUGUUUUGUGCUGAGAUGUAAAUUUUGUUAUUUUUUAAUUAGCUGAAGAAUAUUAAAAUUAUAUGAAAAUUGCAUUUAAAAAAAGAAAUAAUAUUUUGCCCAUUGGGCUCUUAAUGAAUACAGGGCAGUGCUUAAGGAAACUAUCCCAUUUUGUAGAUGCUGUCAACUAUUGGCUGUUUAUGUGUUUAUACAAAGUUUGACCUCCUGAAUAAAAUGAGAAUUCUACUUA